AAUCCAUAGGUUAAUGAGGCGAACCGGGGGAACUGAAACAUCUAAGUACCCCGAGGAAAAGAAAUCAACCGAGAUUCCCCCAGUAGCGGCGAGCGAACGGGGAGGAGCCCAGAGCCUGAAUCAGCAUGUGUGUUAGUGGAAGCGUCUGGAAAGGCGCGCGAUACAGGGUGACAGCCCCGUACACAAAAGCGCAUGUGCUGUGAGCUCGAUGAGUAGGGCGGGACACGUGGUAUCCUGUCUGAAUAUGGGGGGACCAUCCUCCAAGGCUAAAUACUCCUGACUGACCGAUAGUGAACCAGUACCGUGAGGGAAAGGCGAAAAGAACCCCGGCGAGGGGAGUGAAAAAGAACCUGAAACCGUGUACGUACAAGCAGUGGGAGCACCCUUCGGGGUGUGACUGCGUACCUUUUGUAUAAUGGGUCAGCGACUUAUAUUCUGUAGCAAGGUUAACCGUAUAGGGGAGCCGCAGGGAAACCGAGUCUUAAUUGGGCGUUAAGUUGCAGGGUAUAGACCCGAAACCCGGUGAUCUAGCCAUGGGCAGGUUGAAGGUUGGGUAACACUAACUGGAGGACCGAACCGACUAAUGUUGAAAAAUUAGCGGAUGACCUGUGGCUGGGGGUGAAAGGCCAAUCAAACCGGGAGAUAGCUGGUUCUCCCCGAAAGCUAUUUAGGUAGCGCCUCGUGAAUUCAUCUCCGGGGGUAGAGCACUGUUUCGGCUAGGGGGCCAUCCCGGCUUACCAACCCGAUGCAAACUGCGAAUACCGGAGAAUGUUAUCACGGGAGACACACGGCGGGUGCUAACGUCCGUCGUGAAGAGGGAAACAACCCAGACCGCCAGCUAAGGUCCCAAAGUCAUGGUUAAGUGGGAAACGAUGUGGGAAGGCCCAGACAGCCAGGAUGUUGGCUUAGAAGCAGCCAUCAUUUAAAGAAAGCGUAAUAGCUCACUGGUCGAGUCGGCCUGCGCGGAAGAUGUAACGGGGCUAAACCAUGCACCGAAGCUGCGGCAGCGACACUGUGUGUUGUUGGGUAGGGGAGCGUUCUGUAAGCCUGUGAAGGUGUGUCGUGAGGCAUGCUGGAGGUAUCAGAAGUGCGAAUGCUGACAUAAGUAACGAUAAAGCGGGUGAAAAGCCCGCUCGCCGGAAGACCAAGGGUUCCUGUCCAACGUUAAUCGGGGCAGGGUGAGUCGACCCCUAAGGCGAGGCCGAAAGGCGUAGUCGAUGGGAAACGGGUUAAUAUUCCCGUACUUGGUGUUACUGCGAAGGGGGGACGGAGAAGGCUAUGUUGGCCGGGCGACGGUUGUCCCGGUUUAAGCGUGUAGGUGUGUGUUCCAGGUAAAUCCGGUUCACUUUAACACUGAGGCGUGACGACGAGGCACUACGGUGCUGAAGCAACAAAUGCCCUGCUUCCAGGAAAAGCCUCUAAGCAUCAGGUAACAUCAAAUCGUACCCCAAACCGACACAGGUGGUCAGGUAGAGAAUACCAAGGCGCUUGAGAGAACUCGGGUGAAGGAACUAGGCAAAAUGGUGCCGUAACUUCGGGAGAAGGCACGCUGACACGUAGGUGAAGUGAUUUACUCAUGGAGCUGAAGUCAGUCGAAGAUACCAGCUGGCUGCAACUGUUUAUUAAAAACACAGCACUGUGCAAACACGAAAGUGGACGUAUACGGUGUGACGCCUGCCCGGUGCCGGAAGGUUAAUUGAUGGGGUCAGCGCAAGCGAAGCUCCUGAUCGAAGCCCCGGUAAACGGCGGCCGUAACUAUAACGGUCCUAAGGUAGCGAAAUUCCUUGUCGGGUAAGUUCCGACCUGCACGAAUGGCGUAAUGAUGGCCAGGCUGUCUCCACCCGAGACUCAGUGAAAUUGAACUCGCUGUGAAGAUGCAGUGUACCCGCGGCAAGACGGAAAGACCCCGUGAACCUUUACUAUAGCUUGACACUGAACAUUGAGCCUUGAUGUGUAG
This 1957-nucleotide ribosomal RNA is filed under the name Salmonella enterica subsp. enterica serovar Nigeria. RNAcentral describes it as "partial 23S ribosomal RNA". It matches the Rfam family "Bacterial large subunit ribosomal RNA", at positions 161 to 2141 of the family's 2925-position model. The record is from RNAcentral. Lineage: Bacteria; Pseudomonadati; Pseudomonadota; Gammaproteobacteria; Enterobacterales; Enterobacteriaceae.